This 497-nucleotide ribosomal RNA is filed under the name uncultured bacterium. RNAcentral's name for it is "partial 16S ribosomal RNA". It matches the Rfam family "Bacterial small subunit ribosomal RNA", at positions 28 to 507 of the family's 1533-position model. The record is from RNAcentral.
GAUGAACGCUGGCGGCGUGCCUAAUACAUGCAAGUCGAGCGAACAGACGAGGAGCUUGCUCCUCUGACGUUAGCGGCGGACGGGUGAGUAACACGUGGAUAACCUACCUAUAAGACUGGGAUAACUUCGGGAAACCGGAGCUAAUACCGGAUAAUAUAUUGAACCGCAUGGUUCAAUAGUGAAAGACGGUUUUGCUGUCACUUAUAGAUGGAUCCGCGCCGCAUUAGCUAGUUGGUAAGGUAACGGCUUACCAUGGCAACGAUGCGUAGCCGACCUGAGAGGGUGCUCGGCCACACUGGAACUGAGACACGGUCCAGACUCCUACGGGAGGCAGCAGUAGGGAAUCUUCCGCAAUGGGCGAAAGCCUGACGGAGCAACGCCGCGUGAGUGAUGAAGGUCUUCGGAUCGUAAAACUCUGUUAUUAGGGAAGAACAAAUGUGUAAGUAACUAUGCACGUCUUGACGGUACCUAAUCAGAAAGCCACGGCUAACUACGUG